ACGGGAGGCAGCAGUGGGGAAUAUUGCACAAUGGGGGAAACCCUGAUGCAGCGACGCCGCGUGAGUGAAGAAGUAUUUCGGUAUGUAAAGCUCUAUCAGCAGGAAAGAAAAUGACGGUACCUGACUAAGAAGCCCCGGCUAACUACGUGCCAGCAGCCGCGGUAAUACGUAGGGGGCAAGCGUUAUCCGGAUUUACUGGGUGUAAAGGGAGCGUAGACGGUAAGGCAAGUCUGAAGUGAAAUGCCAGGGCUCAACCCUGGAACUGCUUUGGAAACUGUCCUACUAGAGUGCAGGAGAGGUAAGUGGAAUUCCUAGUGUAGCGGUGAAAUGCGUAGAUAUUAGGAGGAACACCAGUGGCGAAGGCGGCUUACUGGACUGUAACUGACGUUGAGGCUCGAAAGCGUGGGGAGCGAACAGGAUUAGAUACCCUGGUA
This 434-nucleotide ribosomal RNA is filed under the name uncultured Lachnospiraceae bacterium. RNAcentral describes it as "partial 16S ribosomal RNA". It matches the Rfam family "Bacterial small subunit ribosomal RNA", at positions 341 to 792 of the family's 1533-position model. The record is from RNAcentral. Lineage: Bacteria; Bacillati; Bacillota; Clostridia; Lachnospirales; Lachnospiraceae.